GGGCACUGGAUAGUAGGUGGGGUACUGAGUUGGUACUGGAUAGUAGGCGGGGUACUGAGUUGGUACUGGAUAGUAGGCGGGGUACUGAGUUGGUACUGGAUAGUAGGUGGGGUACUGAGUUGGUACUGGAUAGUAGGCGGGGUACUGAGUUGGUACUGGAUAGUAGGCGGGGUACUGAGUUGGUACUGGAUAGUAGGCGGGGUACUGAGUUGGUACUGGAUAGUAGGUGGGGUACUGAGUUGGUACUGGAUAGUAGGUGGGGUACUGAGUUGGUACUGGAUAGUAGGCGGGGUACUGAGUUGGUACUGGAUAGUAGGUGGGGUACUGGAGAGUAGGUGGGGUACUUAGUUGGUACUGGAUAGUAGGUGGGGUACUGAGUUGGUACUGGGUAGUAGGUGGGGUACUGAGUUGGUACUGGAUAGUAGGUGGGGUACUGGGUAGUAGGUGGGGUACUGAGUUGGUACUGGGUAGUAGGUGGGGUCCUGAGUUGGUACUGGAUAGUAGGUGGGGUACUGAGUUGGUACUGGACAGUAGGUGGGGUACUGGAUAGUAGGUGAGGUACUGAGUUGGUACUGGGUAGUAGGUGGGGUACUGAGUUGGUACUGAGUAGUAGGUGGGGUACUGAGUUGGUACUGGGUAGUAGGUGGGGUACUGAGUUGGUACUGGGUAGUUGGUACUGGGUGGAGUGUAGAAGGUGGCUGGAGUUGGUUUGGUUAGUCUGCUUCAUUCUUUGACGCCUCAUCAAAG
Oncorhynchus tshawytscha (Chinook salmon) is the source of this 747-nucleotide long non-coding RNA. NCBI's taxonomy places the organism in Eukaryota, Metazoa, Chordata, Actinopteri, Salmoniformes, Salmonidae. The record is from Ensembl.